AGAGUUUGAUCCUGGCUCAGGAUGAACGCUGGCGGCGUGCCUAAUACAUGCAAGUCGAGCGAACGGACGAGAAGCUUGCUUCUCUGAUGUUAGCGGCGGACGGGUGAGUAACACGUGGAUAACCUACCUAUAAAACUGGGAUAACUUCGGGAAACCGGAGCUAAUACCGGAUAAUAUUUUGAACCGCAUGGUUCAAAAGUGAAAGACGGUCUUGCUGUCACUUAUAGAUGGAUCCGCGCUGCAUUAGCUAGUUGGUAAGGUAACGGCUUACCAAGGCAACGAUGCAUAGCCGACCUGAGAGGGUGAUCGGCCACACUGGAACUGAGACACGGUCCAGACUCCUACGGGAGGCAGCAGUAGGGAAUCUUCCGCAAUGGGCGAAAGCCUGACGGAGCAACGCCGCGUGAGUGAUGAAGGUCUUCGGAUCGUAAAACUCUGUUAUUAGGGAAGAACAUAUGUGUAAGUAACUGUGCACAUCUUGACGGUACCUAAUCAGAAAGCCACGGCUAACUACGUGCCAGCAGCCGCGGUAAUACGUAGGUGGCAAGCGUUAUCCGGAAUUAUUGGGCGUAAAGCGCGCGUAGGCGGUUUUUUAAGUCUGAUGUGAAAGCCCACGGCUCAACCGUGGAGGGUCAUUGGAAACUGGAAAACUUGAGUGCAGAAGAGGAAAGUGGAAUUCCAUGUGUAGCGGUGAAAUGCGCAGAGAUAUGGAGGAACACCAGUGGCGAAGGCGACUUUCUGGUCUGUAACUGACGCUGAUGUGCGAAAGCGUGGGGAUCAAACAGGAUUAGAUACCCUGGUAGUCCACGCCGUAAACGAUGAGUGCUAAGUGUUAGGGGGUUUCCGCCCCUUAGUGCUGCAGCUAACGCAUUAAGCACUCCGCCUGGGGAGUACGACCGCAAGGUUGAAACUCAAAGGAAUUGACGGGGACCCGCACAAGCGGUGGAGCAUGUGGUUUAAUUCGAAGCAACGCGAAGAACCUUACCAAAUCUUGACAUCCUUUGACAACUCUAG
RNAcentral lists this ribosomal RNA (1014 nucleotides) under Staphylococcus aureus F74035. Its description in RNAcentral is "bacterial SSU rRNA". It matches the Rfam family "Bacterial small subunit ribosomal RNA", at positions 8 to 1003 of the family's 1533-position model. Lineage: Bacteria; Bacillati; Bacillota; Bacilli; Caryophanales; Staphylococcaceae. The record is from RNAcentral.